This 73-nucleotide transfer RNA is filed under the name Ovis aries (sheep). It matches the Rfam family "tRNA". Rfam says of the family: Transfer RNA (tRNA) molecules are approximately 80 nucleotides in length. Their secondary structure includes four short double-helical elements and three loops (D, anti-codon, and T loops). Lineage: Eukaryota; Metazoa; Chordata; Mammalia; Artiodactyla; Bovidae. The record is from Rfam by way of RNAcentral.
UCCCCGGUGGUCCAGUGGUUAAGGCUCUGCACUCCCAAUGCAGCAGGCACGGGUUCAAUCCCUGGGCAGGGAG